UACGGAGGGUGCAAGCGUUGUCCGGAAUCACUGGGCGUAAAGGGCGCGUAGGCGGCUCGGUAAGUAGGGGGUGAAAUCCUGCGGCUUAACCGCAGGGCUGCCUUCUAAACUGUCGAGCUCGAGCACGGUAGAGGCAGAUGGAAUUCCCGGUGUAGCGGUGGAAUGCGCAGAUAUCAGGAGGAACACCGGUGGCGAAGGCGGUUCUCUGGGCAUUACCUGACGCUGAGGAGCGAAAGUGUGGGGAGCGAACAGG
This 253-nucleotide ribosomal RNA is filed under the name uncultured bacterium. RNAcentral describes it as "partial 16S ribosomal RNA". It matches the Rfam family "Bacterial small subunit ribosomal RNA", at positions 524 to 776 of the family's 1533-position model. The record is from RNAcentral.